RNAcentral lists this ribosomal RNA (254 nucleotides) under uncultured bacterium. RNAcentral describes it as "partial 16S ribosomal RNA". It matches the Rfam family "Bacterial small subunit ribosomal RNA", at positions 524 to 776 of the family's 1533-position model. The record is from RNAcentral.
UACAGAGGGUGCGAGCGUUGUCCGGAAUCACUGGGCGUAAAGGGCGCGUAGGUGGUGGCUUAAGCGUGCGGUGAAAGCUCGGGGCUCAACCCCGAGUCGGCCGUGCGAACUGAGUCGCUUGAGCACUGUAGAGGCAGGCGGAAUUCCGGGUGUAGCGGUGGAAUGCGUAGAGAUCCGGAAGAACACCGGUGGCGAAGGCGGCCUGCUGGGCAGUAGCUGACACUGAGGCGCGACAGCGUGGGGGAGCAAACAGG